RNAcentral lists this ribosomal RNA (271 nucleotides) under Lepidotrigona ventralis. RNAcentral describes it as "partial large subunit ribosomal RNA". The record is from RNAcentral. Lineage: Eukaryota; Metazoa; Arthropoda; Insecta; Hymenoptera; Apidae.
UAUAGAAUUUUAUAUUAACUUUACCUAGCGGUUAAUGCUGGUUUUUUGUUAAUAUUUGGUUGGGAGGAUUAUUAAAUUUAACAAACUUUAUAUCAUUAUAAACUUUGAUUUAAGAAAAUAUAAUGACCUUCAAUUUGAAAUAGUUAGAGUAAAUUACCUUAGGGAUAACAGCGUAAUAUUUUUUUAUAGACCUUAUAGAAAAAAAUGGUUGCGACCUCGAUGUUGAAUUAAGAUAAAUUUUAAAUGCAGGAGUUUAAUAAUUAAGUCUGUU